RNAcentral lists this unclassified non-coding RNA (265 nucleotides) under uncultured fungus. RNAcentral describes it as "partial contains 5.8S ribosomal RNA, internal transcribed spacer 2, and large subunit ribosomal RNA". The stretch from base 1 to 52 matches the Rfam family "5.8S ribosomal RNA", at positions 103 to 154 of the family's 154-position model. The record is from RNAcentral. Lineage: Eukaryota; Fungi.
AACGCACAUUGCGCCCUUUGGUAUUCCGAAGGGCAUGCCUGUUCGAGCGUCAUUAUCACCCCUCAAGCCCCGUGCUUGGUGUUGGACGGCCGGUCGAGCGAUCGACCCCUCCCAAAGACAAUGACGGCGGCCUGUGGUUCCCCCGGUACACUGAGCUUUCACGAGCACGUAUCGGACAAGGGCGCCCGGGACCCGGUCCUCUCCCCUCACCGGGAAACUUCUAAUGGUUGACCUCGGAUCAGGUAGGAAUACGCGCUGAACUUAA